CAGAGAUGGCCGGGGUGCCCGAACGGAUCGGGCUGAGAUCACACCCGCCGAACCUGAUCCGGAUCAUGCCGGCGAAAGGGAGCCAGAGCGAUGUCUGC
This 98-nucleotide non-coding RNA is filed under the name Microlunatus soli. Its description in RNAcentral is "TPP sequence". It matches the Rfam family "TPP riboswitch aptamer (THI element)". From Rfam's summary of the family: Vitamin B(1) in its active form thiamin pyrophosphate (TPP) is an essential coenzyme that is synthesised by coupling of pyrimidine and thiazole moieties in bacteria. The record is from Rfam by way of RNAcentral. Lineage: Bacteria; Bacillati; Actinomycetota; Actinomycetes; Propionibacteriales; Propionibacteriaceae.